GACGAACGCUGGCGGCGUGCCUAAUACAUGCAAGUCGAGCGGACAGAUGGGAGCUUGCUCCCUGAUGUUAGCGGCGGACGGGUGAGUAACACGUGGGUAACCUGCCUGUAAGACUGGGAUAACUCCGGGAAACCGGGGCUAAUACCGGAUGGUUGUUUGAACCGCAUGGUUCAAACAUAAAAGGUGGCUUCGGCUACCACUUACAGAUGGACCCGCGGCGCAUUAGCUAGUUGGUGAGGUAACGGCUCACCAAGGCAACGAUGCGUAGCCGACCUGAGAGGGUGAUCGGCCACACUGGGACUGAGACACGGCCCAGACUCCUACGGGAGGCAGCAGUAGGGAAUCUUCCGCAAUGGACGAAAGUCUGACGGAGCAACGCCGCGUGAGUGAUGAAGGUUUUCGGAUCGUAAAGCUCUGUUGUUAGGGAAGAACAAGUACCGUUCAAAUAGGGCGGUACCUUGACGGUACCUUAUGAGAAAGCCACGGCUAACUACGUGCCAGCCGCCGCAGUAA
This 513-nucleotide ribosomal RNA is filed under the name uncultured bacterium. RNAcentral describes it as "partial 16S ribosomal RNA". It matches the Rfam family "Bacterial small subunit ribosomal RNA", at positions 28 to 523 of the family's 1533-position model. The record is from RNAcentral.